This is a non-coding RNA of Ciona savignyi (Pacific transparent sea squirt), 84 nucleotides long. Lineage: Eukaryota; Metazoa; Chordata; Ascidiacea; Phlebobranchia; Cionidae. The record is from Rfam.
GCUGCGAUGGCCGAGUGGUUAUAAGGCGUUGGACUCGAAAUCCAAUGGGAUAUUCCCGCGCAGGUUCGAAUCCUGUUCGCAGCG